RNAcentral lists this ribosomal RNA (466 nucleotides) under uncultured bacterium. Its description in RNAcentral is "partial 16S ribosomal RNA". It matches the Rfam family "Bacterial small subunit ribosomal RNA", at positions 28 to 507 of the family's 1533-position model. The record is from RNAcentral.
GACGAACGCUGGCGGUGUGCUUAACACAUGCAAGUCGAACGGUAAGGCCCUUUCGGGGGUACACGAGUGGCGAACGGGUGAGUAACACGUGAGUAACCUGCCCUCAUCUCUGGGAUAACAGUCGGAAACGGUUGCUAAUACUGGAUAUGAGCUUGCAAGGCAUCUUGUGGGUUGGAAAGAUUUUUUUGGUUGGGGAUGGACUCGCGGCCUAUCAGCUUGUUGGUGAGGUAGUGGCUCACCAAGGCUUCGACGGGUAGCCGGCCUGAGAGGGCGACCGGCCACAUUGGGACUGAGAUACGGCCCAAACUCCUACGGGAGGCAGCAGUGGGGAAUAUUGCACAAUGGACGGAAGUCUGAUGCAGCACCGCCGCGUGCGGGAUGACGGCCUUGGGGUUGUAAACCGCUUUCAAUUGUGACGAAGCUUUUUGUGACGGUAGCAGUAGAAGAAGCACCGGCUAACUACGUG